RNAcentral lists this ribosomal RNA (421 nucleotides) under uncultured prokaryote. RNAcentral's name for it is "bacterial SSU rRNA". It matches the Rfam family "Bacterial small subunit ribosomal RNA", at positions 355 to 774 of the family's 1533-position model. The record is from RNAcentral.
UAGGGAAUAUUGGUCAAUGGGUGAGAGCCUGAACCAGCCAUGCCGCGUGCAGGAAGACGGCCUUCUGGGUUGUAAACUGCUUUUAUCUGGGGAUAAAAAGACCUUGCGAGGUUAAUUGAAGGUACCAGAUGAAUAAGCACCGGCUAACUACGUGCCAGCAGCCGCGGUAAUACGUAGGGUGCAAGCGUUGUCCGGAUUUAUUGGGUUUAAAGGGUGCGUAGGCGGCCCGUUAAGUCAGUGGUGAAAUACAGCAGCUCAACUGUUGAUGUGCCAAUGAUACUGGCGGGCUAGAGUACAGACGAGGUAGGCGGAAUUGACAGUGUAGCGGUGAAAUGCAUAGAUAUUGUCAAGAACACCGAUAGCGAAGGCAGCUUGCUAGCCUGUAACUGACGCUGAGGCACGAAAGUGUGGGGAUCAAACA